RNAcentral lists this ribosomal RNA (670 nucleotides) under Bacillus sp. (in: firmicutes). RNAcentral describes it as "bacterial SSU rRNA". It matches the Rfam family "Bacterial small subunit ribosomal RNA", at positions 57 to 709 of the family's 1533-position model. Lineage: Bacteria; Bacillati; Bacillota; Bacilli; Caryophanales; Bacillaceae. The record is from RNAcentral.
GCAGUCGAGCGAUGGAUUAAGAGCUUGCUCUUAUGAAGUUAGCGGCGGACGGGUGAGUAACACGUGGGUAACCUGCCCAUAAGACUGGGAUAACUCCGGGAAACCGGGGCUAAUACCGGAUAACAUUUUGAACCGCAUGGUUCGAAAUUGAAAGGCGGCUUCGGCUGUCACUUAUGGAUGGACCCGCGUCGCAUUAGCUAGUUGGUGAGGUAACGGCUCACCAAGGCAACGAUGCGUAGCCGACCUGAGAGGGUGAUCGGCCACACUGGGACUGAGACACGGCCCAGACUCCUACGGGAGGCAGCAGUAGGGAAUCUUCCGCAAUGGACGAAAGUCUGACGGAGCAACGCCGCGUGAGUGAUGAAGGCUUUCGGGUCGUAAAACUCUGUUGUUAGGGAAGAACAAGUGCUAGUUGAAUAAGCUGGCACCUUGACGGUACCUAACCAGAAAGCCACGGCUAACUACGUGCCAGCAGCCGCGGUAAUACGUAGGUGGCAAGCGUUAUCCGGAAUUAUUGGGCGUAAAGCGCGCGCAGGUGGUUUCUUAAGUCUGAUGUGAAAGCCCACGGCUCACCCGUGGAGGGUCAUUGGAAACUGGGAGACUUGAGUGCAGAAGAGGAAAGUGGAAUUCCAUGUGUAGCGGUGAAAUGCGUAGAGAUAUGGAGGAACAC